CUACGGGUCGCUGCAGUGAGGAAUAUUGCACAAUGGAGGAAACUCUGAUGCAGCAACGCCGCGUGGAGGAUGACGCAUUUCGGUGUGUAAACUCCUUUUAUAUGUCAAGAAAAUGACGGUAGCAUAUGAAUAAGCACCGGCUAACUCCGUGCCAGCAGCCGCGGUAAUACGGAGGGUGGCAAGCGUUACUCGGAAUUACUGGGCGUAAAGGACGCGUAGGCGGGAUAUCAAGUCAGGUGUGAAAUCCUACAGCUUAACUGUAGAACUGCACUUGAAACUGGUAACCUAGAGUAUGGGAGGGGGAGAUGGAAUUAGUGGUGUAGGGGUAAAAUCCGUAGAUAUCACUAGGAAUACCUAAAGCGAAGGCGAUCUCCUGGAACAUAACUGACGCUAAGGCGUGAAAGCGUGGGGAGCAAACAGGAUUAGAUACCCGUGUAGUC
Molecule: ribosomal RNA, 440 nt
Filed under: uncultured bacterium
Lineage: Bacteria
Description: partial 16S ribosomal RNA
Rfam family: Bacterial small subunit ribosomal RNA
Source: RNAcentral